UCUCUAGUAAACACUUGUCGAUGUCCUCCCAUUGUGUCAUAAGUCCCUGAGGCCGAUAUCCGUCUCUGCAGCCACAGAUGCUACUGCUUUUUCCGGAAUCCACUGUUCGAAGUUGAAGACCAACGGCUGCAAGACUUGUUCAAGCAUCCUCUUUUGUAUAGUGUUUCAAGUGCUGCCCCAGAUGGACAUCUGUAAUCUCAGACAGCGAUUCCCUAGGACGAAGGAGAGCCUUUGCCUCACCUGGACAGCUCAGGUUGAUGCGACAGAAUUGGAGCGGCCUAACAAACGACAGGAAAAAUCAUUACAGUCCUCUCAUCUUUGCCAAAAGACGUGGCGUUUCAGCAGCCAAAGCCAAGAGGCUUCAGCACCAGGGGUCUGCGCUGGAGGGCUCCUGGUCCUGCCCGUACUGUGGGGUUUGCAGUUUAUUAUGAGGGUGUGGGUGUAAGAAAGAGUGUGGAGCAUGG
Oenanthe melanoleuca is the source of this 464-nucleotide long non-coding RNA. RefSeq lists it as uncharacterized. NCBI's taxonomy places the organism in Eukaryota, Metazoa, Chordata, Aves, Passeriformes, Muscicapidae. The transcript has 4 exons. The record is from RefSeq and is a predicted model, not a curated record.